Molecule: long non-coding RNA, 537 nt
Organism: Herpailurus yagouaroundi (jaguarundi)
Lineage: Eukaryota; Metazoa; Chordata; Mammalia; Carnivora; Felidae
Exons: 3
Source: RefSeq, a predicted model, not a curated record
ACAGCCACCUGAGCUCUGACCCGGGCUCGCUUCCCCACCGGCCCCACACAGACCCCCGUUUGCCUGCAAUGGCACAGGGUCCCCAGGGGAGCGACCUGCUGCUGGCAUUCCAGACACGGGGAAAGGGACACCGUCUGGCAAACAUCUCUUUCUCCGGGCUGAUUCCUCUGUCUCCUGCAGCCGCUUAGCUCUACAUCGGGGGGAGUGUGGUGUGAGCCUAAGGUCCCCACAGCCCCCCACGUGCUUGCCGGAUUCCUGGGCAGUGUUUACCAGAUCCGUUCAACGGUCCCCAUGGCUGCGGCUUCCUAAUACCGAGGAGUCCCGGGAGGGGACUGAGCUCGGCCUCAAUCUGGAGAUAAACACAGUCACUACCAGACAUCAAGCACUUGCUUUGGGCUCAGCACCUUCCGCACGUGCAGGAAGGUGGGUACCAGCACCCCCAUCAAAUCACUGAGGAGACAGAAGCAGAGAGAGGUUAAGCAAUCAGCCCACAGGCACACAGCUAAGGAGAAGCGUUAGCAAGGGGGAAGCUUGGUG